UGGGGAAUUUUGGACAAUGGGCGCAAGCCUGAUCCAGCAAUGCCGCGUGCAGGAUGAAGGCCUUCGGGUUGUAAACUGCUUUUGUACGGAACGAAAAGACUCCUUCUAAUAAAGGGGGUCCAUGACGGUACCGUAAGAAUAAGCACCGGCUAACUACGUGCCAGCAGCCGCGGUAAUACGUAGGGUGCGAGCGUUAAUCGGAAUUACUGGGCGUAAAGCGUGCGCAGGCGGUUAUAUAAGACAGGUGUGAAAUCCCCGGGCUCAACCUGGGAACUGCAUUUGUGACUGUAUAGCUAGAGUACGGCAGAGGGGGAUGGAAUUCCGCGUGUAGCAGUGAAAUGCGUAGAUAUGCGGAGGAACACCGAUGGCGAAGGCAAUCCCCUGGGCCUGUACUGACGCUCAAGCACGAAAGCGUGGGGAGCAAACA
This 427-nucleotide ribosomal RNA is filed under the name uncultured bacterium. RNAcentral's name for it is "bacterial SSU rRNA". It matches the Rfam family "Bacterial small subunit ribosomal RNA", at positions 355 to 774 of the family's 1533-position model. The record is from RNAcentral.